GGCUUAACACAUGCAAGUCGAGGGGCAUCAGGAAGAAAGCUUGCUUUCUUUGCUGGCGACCGGCGCACGGGUGAGUAACACGUAUCCAACCUGCCCUUUACUCGGGGAUAGCCUUUCGAAAGAAAGAUUAAUACCCGAUAGCAUAAUGAUUCCGCAUGGUUUCAUUAUUAAAGGAUUCCGGUAAAGGAUGGGGAUGCGUUCCAUUAGGUUGUUGGUGAGGUAACGGCCCACCAAGCCUUCGAUGGAUAGGGGUUCUGAGAGGAAGGUCCCCCACAUUGGAACUGAGACACGGUCCAAACUCCUACGGGAGGCAGCAGUGAGGAAUAUUGGUCAAUGGGCGCUAGCCUGAACCAGCCAAGUAGCGUGAAGGAUGAAGGCUCUAUGGGUCGUAAACUUCUUUUAUAUAAGAAUAAAGUGCAGUAUGUAUACUGUUUUGUAUGUAUUAUAUGAAUAAGGAUCGGCUAACUCCGUGCCAGCAGCCGCGGUAAUACGGAGGAUCCGAGCGUUAUCCGGAUUUAUUGGGUUUAAAGGGAGCGUAGGUGGACUGGUAAGUCAGUUGUGAAAGUUUGCGGCUCAACCGUAAAAUUGCAGUUGAUACUGUCAGUCUUGAGUACAGUAGAGGUGGGCGGAAUUCGUGGUGUAGCGGUGAAAUGCUUAGAUAUCACGAAGAACUCCGAUUGCGAAGGCAGCUCACUGGACUGCAACUGACACUGAUGCUCGAAAGUGUGGGUAUCAAACAGGAUUAGAUACCCUGGUAGUCCACACAGUAAACGAUGAAUACUCGCUGUUUGCGAUAUACAGUAAGCGGCCAAGCGAAAGCAUUAAGUAUUCCACCUGGGGAGUACGCCGGCAACGGUGAAACUCAAAGGAAUUGACGGGGGCCCGCACAAGCGGAGGAACAUGUGGUUUAAUUCGAUGAUACGCGAGGAACCUUACCCGGGCUUAAAUUGCAGUGGAAUGAUGUGGAAACAUGUCAGUGAGCAAUCACCGCUGUGAAGGUGCUGCAUGGUUGUCGUCAGCUCGUGCCGUGAGGUGUCGGCUUAAGUGCCAUAACGAGCGCAACCCUUAUCUUUAGUUACUAACAGGUUAUGCUGAGGACUCUAGAGAGACUGCCGUCGUAAGAUGUGAGGAAGGUGGGGAUGACGUCAAAUCAGCACGGCCCUUACGUCCGGGGCUACACACGUGUUACAAUGGGGGGUACAGAAGGCAGCUAGCGGGUGACCGUAUGCUAAUCCCAAAAUCCUCUCUCAGUUCGGAUCGAAGUCUGCAACCCGACUUCGUGAAGCUGGAUUCGCUAGUAAUCGCGCAUCAGCCACGGCGCGGUGAAUACGUUCCCGGGCCUUGUACACACCGCCCGUCAAGCCAUGGGAGCCGGGGGUACCUGAAGUACGUAACCGCAAGGAUCGUCCUAGGGUAAAACUGGUGACUGGGGCUAAGUCA
RNAcentral lists this ribosomal RNA (1440 nucleotides) under uncultured organism. RNAcentral's name for it is "SSU rRNA". It matches the Rfam family "Bacterial small subunit ribosomal RNA". The record is from RNAcentral.